CGAUGAUGCCCAGCUUGCUGGGUGGAUUAGUGGCGAACGGGUGAGUAACACGUGAGUAACCUGCCCCUGACUCUGGGAUAAGCGUUGGAAACGACGUCUAAUACUGGAUAUGACUGCCGGCCGCAUGGUCUGGUGGUGGAAAGAUUUUUUGGUUGGGGAUGGACUCGCGGCCUAUCAGCUUGUUGGUGAGGUAAUGGCUCACCAAGGCGACGACGGGUAGCCGGCCUGAGAGGGUGACCGGCCACACUGGGACUGAGACACGGCCCAGACUCCUACGGGAGGCAGCAGUGGGGAAUAUUGCACAAUGGGCGAAAGCCUGAUGCAGCAACGCCGCGUGAGGGAUGACGGCCUUCGGGUUGUAAACCUCUUUUAGUAGGGAAGAAGCGAAAGUGACGGUACCUGCAGAAAAAGCACCGGCUAACUACGUGCCAGCAGCCGCGGUAAUACGUAGGGUGCAAGCGUUGUCCGGAAUUAUUGGGCGUAAAGAGCUCGUAGGCGGUUUGUCGCGUCUGCUGUGAAAUCCCGAGGCUCAACCUCGGGCUUGCAGUGGGUACGGGCAGACUAGAGUGCGGUAGGGGAGAUUGGAAUUCCUGGUGUAGCGGUGGAAUGCGCAGAUAUCAGGAGGAACACCGAUGGCGAAGGCAGAUCUCUGGGCCGUAACUGACGCUGAGGAGCGAAAGCAUGGGGAGCGAACAGGAUUAGAUACCCUGGUAGUCCAUGCCGUAAACGUUGGGCGCUAGAUGUAGGGACCUUUCCACGGUUUCUGUGUCGUAGCUAACGCAUUAAGCGCCCCGCCUGGGGAGUACGGCCGCAAGGCUAAAACUCAAAGGAAUUGACGGGGGCCCGCACAAGCGGCGGAGCAUGCGGAUUAAUUCGAUGCAACGCGAAGAACCUUACCAAGGCUUGACAUACACCGGAAACGGCCAGAGAUGGUCGCCCCCUUGUGGUCGGUGUACAGGUGGUGCAUGGUUGUCGUCAGCUCGUGUCGUGAGAUGUUGGGUUAAGUCCCGCAACGAGCGCAACCCUCGUUCUAUGUUGCCAGCGCGUUAUGGCGGGGACUCAUAGGAGACUGCCGGGGUCAACUCGGAGGAAGGUGGGGAUGACGUCAAAUCAUCAUGCCCCUUAUGUCUUGGGCUUCACGCAUGCUACAAUGGCCGGUACAAAGGGCUGCGAUACCGUAAGGUGGAGCGAAUCCCAAAAAGCCGGUCUCAGUUCGGAUUGAGGUCUGCAACUCGACCUCAUGAAGUCGGAGUCGCUAGUAAUCGCAGAUCAGCAACGCUGCGGUGAAUACGUUCCCGGGCCUUGUACACACCGCCCGUCAAGUCAUGAAAGUCGGUAACACCCGAAGCCG
This 1351-nucleotide ribosomal RNA is filed under the name Curtobacterium oceanosedimentum. RNAcentral's name for it is "partial 16S ribosomal RNA". It matches the Rfam family "Bacterial small subunit ribosomal RNA", at positions 67 to 1429 of the family's 1533-position model. RNAcentral also lists the same sequence under 1 other name. Lineage: Bacteria; Bacillati; Actinomycetota; Actinomycetes; Micrococcales; Microbacteriaceae. The record is from RNAcentral.